Molecule: long non-coding RNA, 1572 nt
Organism: Oncorhynchus tshawytscha (Chinook salmon)
Lineage: Eukaryota; Metazoa; Chordata; Actinopteri; Salmoniformes; Salmonidae
Source: Ensembl
AGCUACCUUGUUCUUUGCAGAUCCAGAUUUUGACUCAAUCCCUUACUUCCCUUUCUUUGUGGGCUAUACUCGGCCUUGUCUCAGGAUGGUAAGUUGGUGGUUGAAGAUCCCUCUAGUGGUGUGGGGACUGUGCUUUGGCAAAGUGAGUGGGGUUAUAUCCUGCCUGUUUGGCCCUGUCUGGGGGUAUCAUCGGAUGGAGCCACAGUGUCUCCCGACCCCUCCAGUCUCAGCCUCCAGUAUUUAUGCUGCAGUAGUUUAUGUGUCGGGGGGCUAGGGUCAGUCUGUUAUAUCUGGAGUAUUUCUCCUGUUUUAUCCGGUGUCCUGUAUGAAUUUAAGUAUGCUCUCUAUAAUUCUCUCUCUCGGUGUACCUAAGCCCUAGGACCAUGCCUCAGGACUACCUGGCCUGAUGACUCCUUGCCGUUCCCAGUCCACCUGGCCAUGCUGUUGGUCCAGUUUCAACUGUUCUGCCUGCAGCUAUGGAAUCCUGACCUGUUCACCGGACGUGCUACCUGUCCCAGACCUGCUGUUUUCAACUCUCUAGAGACAGCAUGAGCAGUAGAGAUACUCUGAAUGAUCGGCUAUGAAAAGCCAACUGACAUUUACUCCUGGAGUUGGUAGUCCGCUGUCAGCAAUGGCAUUGUUGGGCAAGGGGGAGCUGGUGCUAGCAUAAGAACUGGGCAGGUCUGUGUCUGAGCUUGUGCUGGGCAGGGCCAGAAUGGUGCUGGGACUUGGUAGGUUGGUGCUGGGGCCUGGCAGGGCUGAAAUGGUGCUGGGGCCUGGCAGGGCUGGAAUGUUGCUGGGGCCUGGCAGGGCUGGGCUAGGGCCUAGCAGGUUGGUGCUGGGGCCUGGCAGGGCUGGAAUGCUGCUGGGGCCUGGCAGGUUGGUGCUGGGGCCUGGCAGGGCUGGAAUGUUGCUGGGGCCUGGCAGGGCAGGGUUGGUGCUGGGGCCUGGCAGGGCUGGAAUGCUGCUGGGGCCUGGCAGGUUGGUGCUGGGGCCUGGCAGGGCUGGGUUCUGAAUGGGGUGAUCUGUAACGUAGGAUGGCGCAAACUCGGUUUCCAGAAAUACAACAGGGAUGUAAGGUUGUAUCCCAGCCACCCUAAAGCGAGCCUGAAUGUUCAAGGGGGUUGCAGCCAGAGGAUAGGGGAUCGCCACAAUCCCAUGAAUGUCAUAAAAUUGACAUUGUCUUCCCGGGAUUGUUCCUCAUCCAGGCAUCACACGCAGUGUUAAUGUGCCUCUUUGGCGGCCUGUAGACAGACCUGUCUAAGGGUUGAAGCCGAUGCGAGCAAUGGGGUUUGAAUGACAGCAUAAUUAUGCCAUUUUCUUUGGCAUAAUUGAGUCCAUCAAUGGACAGAUGAGACACUUGGUUUUGUCCAAAAGGAGUAAACAGGUCUUCUCCUUUGAGCACUUCGUAUGCUUGACAAUGUCUCAGGAAGUCAACAAAGGCCCGUGGCCCGUUGAUCAGGACAUGAUCGCGGAAGUUGACACGGGGUGGAUAUAAAAUACGGAGGUAUACUAUUCCCUGUGGCUGAGACAGCACAGGCCAGUGUGACGAGGGUUCCCCUUUCAGCGGAG